AGCAUACACAUGCAGUCGAACGGCAGCGCGAGAGAGCUUGCUCUCUUGGCGGCGAGUGGCGGACGGGUGAGUAAUAUAUCGGAACGUGCCCAGUAGCGGGGGAUAACUACUCGAAAGAGUGGCUAAUACCGCAUACGCCCUACGGGGGAAAGGGGGGGAUCGCAAGACCUCUCACUAUUGGAGCGGCCGAUAUCGGAUUAGCUAGUUGGUGGGGUAAAGGCUCACCAAGGCAACGAUCUGUAGCUGGUUUGAGAGGACGACCAGCCACACUGGGACUGAGACACGGCCCAGACUCCUACGGGAGGCAGCAGUGGGGAAUUUUGGACAAUGGGGGAAACCCUGAUCCAGCCAUCCCGCGUGUAUGAUGAAGGCCUUCGGGUUGUAAAGUACUUUUGGCAGAGAAGAAAAGGUAUCCCCUAAUACGGGAUACUGCUGACGGUAUCUGCAGAAUAAGCACCGGCUAACUACGUGCCAGCAGCCGCGGUAAUACGUAGGGUGCAAGCGUUAAUCGGAAUUACUGGGCGUAAAGCGUGUGUAGGCGGUUCGGAAAGAAAGAUGUGAAAUCCCAGGGCUCAACCUUGGAACUGCAUUUUUAACUGCUGAGCUAGAGUAUGUCAGAGGGGG
RNAcentral lists this ribosomal RNA (624 nucleotides) under Alcaligenes faecalis. RNAcentral's name for it is "bacterial SSU rRNA". It matches the Rfam family "Bacterial small subunit ribosomal RNA", at positions 45 to 660 of the family's 1533-position model. Lineage: Bacteria; Pseudomonadati; Pseudomonadota; Betaproteobacteria; Burkholderiales; Alcaligenaceae. The record is from RNAcentral.